AAGGCUUUAAGUUAAAAAAACUAGUAACCUUCAAAGCUAUCAAUAUAAGACAAAUCUUUUAAGCCUUA
This 68-nucleotide transfer RNA is filed under the name Argyra pingwuensis. RNAcentral's name for it is "tRNA-Trp". Lineage: Eukaryota; Metazoa; Arthropoda; Insecta; Diptera; Dolichopodidae. The record is from RNAcentral.